UACGGGGGGGGCAAGCGUUGUUCGGAAUUACUGGGCGUAAAGGGCUUGUAGGUGGCCAACUAAGUCAGACGUGAAAUCCCUCGGCUUAACCGGGGAACUGCGUCUGAUACUGGAUGGCUGGAGUGUGGGAGAGGGAUGCGGAAUUCCAGGUGUAGCGGUGAAAUGCGUAGAUAUCUGGAGGAACAUCUGUGGCGAAGGCGACUGCCUGGACCAGCACUGACACUGAGGCACGAAAGCGUGGGGAGCAAACAGG
This 253-nucleotide ribosomal RNA is filed under the name uncultured bacterium. RNAcentral describes it as "partial 16S ribosomal RNA". It matches the Rfam family "Bacterial small subunit ribosomal RNA", at positions 524 to 776 of the family's 1533-position model. The record is from RNAcentral.